GGCUAGCGCGCUCUCUCUCUCUCUUUCUCUCUCAAUCCCUCUCCCUCCGCCUCACCUCCUACUCCAUGUGAGGAUACAGUGAGAAGGUGGCCAUCUACAAGCCAGGAAGAGGACUCCCGUCAUGAACUGAAUCUGCCAACACCAAGAUCUUGGACUUCCCGGCCUCCAGAACUGUGACAAAUGAAUGCUUGUUGUUUAAGUCACCUAGUCCAUGGUACUUUGUUAUAGCAGCCCAAACAGACUAAGACAGAAAUCCAAGAUCCCCCUGCACUACAGCAUCAGACAGUGAGGCUGCUGUCUCUCCUGUCUCCUCCACGUGGAAGAGGUACCUGGCUCUGAGAAGACCCCUCUGCCAGAGUGACUCACUGUCAGGCCCCACAGGAAGAAGCUGAGGCCCUUAAGUGCUCAAGAAACUGCUGGCUCCAGGCAAAGAGACGAAGCUGGCCCUGGACUCGUAAAAGAGCUGCUGCACUUGAGCAGGGCCCCCUGGGCUGCUGAGCUGCUCCACAUGCAGGCCUGGGGUGGGUGCCACCUUCCCAGGCUGCUAGGUGAGCAUCUCUGAUGCUAAGUGAGGGGGCAGCUCCAGAGCCAUCUCUCCCCUCCCAGCUCCCAGCACCUCUGGCAUAGAAGCCCCACUCAGCACCAGGGAGAUAUCAUUCCUCACUUUUCACCUUUCCAGGACUCAACUCUUGCCUCAGUUUUCCUCAAGUCCAUUGCCACCUAGUUCUAUUGCGGAGGAUCAUCUUCUGUCUGUUUCCUUUCACAAUGAGAAGAGUCUCUUGGUCCUCGCUGGCUAAGGAUCUGCUUCCUUUUUUCUUCAUUUCCAAUGAUACAGACACGGGAUCAGGACUCAGAUGAAAAAGUCAAGUUGAAUCAGAAAGGGAGUUGGCAGGAGAGUUUGUCCUGUUGGCACCACUACCAGGGACCCCUCUAGCCUCCUGGACGCCUGCACUCCAGCUGAUUCUCACUGGGAUCCCAUCCUCAAUGGCAGCUCCCAGGGCUUGUCCAGAGGCCCUGGAUGGGAGGCACUCCCAGCCUGUAGAGGCAGCAGAUGUAUUCUUUAAGCACAGGGACAGCAGAAUUUUCAAGCUUGGUGGUCAAUGGUGUCUUCCUCUGAGCAAAUCACUCCCAGGGGCAACAUAACCUUCAUGCUAGAGCCACGACUGCCAACUUUCUCAGCAAUCUUCAUCACUGGCAGGGAGGUGACACUGAUCAAGAGAGGAUUCUAUAUCUGAGUUAAAGUUUCUUACUUGUCUUCACUUAUACCUGCAUCCCCUCUUGUACAAGUUCUUUCUCGCCGUUAAUAAAGCUGUAGGAGCCUGGAGAA
Long non-coding RNA from Balaenoptera ricei (Rice's whale), 1327 nucleotides. RefSeq lists it as uncharacterized. The record is from RefSeq and is a predicted model, not a curated record. Lineage: Eukaryota; Metazoa; Chordata; Mammalia; Artiodactyla; Balaenopteridae. The transcript is spliced from 4 exons.